UACAGAGGGCUCAACCGUUGUUCGGAUUCAUUGGGCGUAAAGGGUGCGUAGGCGGUCGCGCAAGUCGGAUGUGAAAUCUCAGGGCUCAACCCUGAAACUGCAUUCGAUACUGCGUGGCUAGAGUGCUGGAGAGGAGACUGGAAUUUACGGUGUAGCAGUGAAAUGCGUAGAUAUCGUAAGGAAGACCAGUGGCGAAGGCGAGUCUCUGGACAGCAACUGACGCUGAGGCACGAAGGCCAGGGGAGCAAACGGG
This 253-nucleotide ribosomal RNA is filed under the name uncultured bacterium. RNAcentral describes it as "partial 16S ribosomal RNA". It matches the Rfam family "Bacterial small subunit ribosomal RNA", at positions 524 to 776 of the family's 1533-position model. The record is from RNAcentral.